AACGUAGGACGCAAGCGUUAUCCGGAGUUACUGGGCGUAAAGGGCAGGCAGGCGGGCUGAUAAGUUGGGUGUGAAAUCUCCUGGCUCAACCGGGAGGGUGCAUCUGAGACUGUCAGUCUGGAGGGCAGCAGAGGAGCGUGGAAUUCCGGGUGGAGUGGUGAAAUGCGUAGAGAUCCGGAGGAACACCAGAGGCGAAGGCGGCGCUCUGGGCUGCACCUGACGCUGAACUGCGAAAGCCAGGGGAGCGAACGGG
RNAcentral lists this ribosomal RNA (253 nucleotides) under uncultured bacterium. RNAcentral's name for it is "partial 16S ribosomal RNA". It matches the Rfam family "Bacterial small subunit ribosomal RNA", at positions 524 to 776 of the family's 1533-position model. The record is from RNAcentral.